RNAcentral lists this non-coding RNA (111 nucleotides) under uncultured Blautia sp. Its description in RNAcentral is "pemK RNA". It matches the Rfam family "pemK RNA". Lineage: Bacteria; Bacillati; Bacillota; Clostridia; Lachnospirales; Lachnospiraceae. RNAcentral also lists the same sequence under 1 other name. The record is from RNAcentral.
ACAAUGAUACUCCCGUCUGGUCAUAAAGUCGUGUGUGUAUGGCAAGUGCCAUAGAUGCCGCAACAAGUGAGGGCGGCUCGGAGAGAUCCUCGGAGGGGUUUGAUUCCCGUG